Molecule: ribosomal RNA, 426 nt
Filed under: uncultured bacterium
Lineage: Bacteria
Description: bacterial SSU rRNA
Rfam family: Bacterial small subunit ribosomal RNA
Source: RNAcentral
GGGGAAUAUUGCACAAUGGGCGAAAGCCUGAUGCAGCAACGCCGCGUGAGUGAAGAAGGUUUUCGGAUCGUAAAACUCUGUUGUUAGAGAAGAACAAGGAUGAGAAGAGAAUGUUCAUCCCUUGACGGUAUCUAACCAGAAAGCCACGGCUAACUACGUGCCAGCAGCCGCGGUAAUACGUAGGUGGCAAGCGUUGUCCGGAUUUAUUGGGCGUAAAGCGAGCGCAGGCGGUUCUUUAAGUCUGAUGUGAAAGCCCCCGGCUUAACCGGGGAGGGUCAUUGGAAACUGGGGAACUUGAGUGCAGAAGAGGAGAGUGGAAUUCCAUGUGUAGCGGUGAAAUGCGUAGAUAUAUGGAGGAACACCAGUGGCGAAGGCGGCUCUCUGGUCUGUAACUGACGCUGAGGCUCGAAAGCGUGGGGAGCAAAC